RNAcentral lists this ribosomal RNA (468 nucleotides) under uncultured bacterium. Its description in RNAcentral is "partial 16S ribosomal RNA". It matches the Rfam family "Bacterial small subunit ribosomal RNA", at positions 28 to 507 of the family's 1533-position model. The record is from RNAcentral.
GACGAACGCUGGCGGCGUGCUUAACACAUGCAAGUCGAACGGAAAGGCCCUGCUUUUGUGGGGUGCUCGAGUGGCGAACGGGUGAGUAACACGUGAGUAACCUGCCCUUGACUUUGGGAUAACUUCAGGAAACUGGGGCUAAUACCGGAUAGGAGCUCCUGCUGCAUGGUGGGGGUUGGAAAGUUUCGGCGGUUGGGGAUGGACUCGCGGCUUAUCAGCUUGUUGGUGGGGUAGUGGCUUACCAAGGCUUUGACGGGUAGCCGGCCUGAGAGGGUGACCGGCCACAUUGGGACUGAGAUACGGCCCAGACUCUUACGGGAGGCAGCAGUGGGGAAUAUUGCACAAUGGGCGGAAGCCUGAUGCAGCAACGCCGCGUGCGGGAUGACGGCCUUCGGGUUGUAAACCGCUUUCGCCUGUGACGAAGCGUGAGUGACGGUAAUGGGUAAAGAAGCACCAGCUAACUACGUG